CAACUUUCAGCAAUGGAUCUCUUGGUUCUCGCAUCGAURAARAACGCASCGAAUUGCGAUAAGUAAUGKGAAUUGCARAUUUUCAGUGAAUCAUCGAAUCUUUGAACGCMCCUUGCGCCCCUUGGUAUUCCRAGGAGCAUGCCUGUUUGAGUGUCAUUU
Molecule: ribosomal RNA, 159 nt
Filed under: Leccinum quercophilum
Lineage: Eukaryota; Fungi; Basidiomycota; Agaricomycetes; Boletales; Boletaceae
Description: 5.8S ribosomal RNA
Rfam family: 5.8S ribosomal RNA
About the family: 5.8S ribosomal RNA (5.8S rRNA) is a component of the large subunit of the eukaryotic ribosome. It is transcribed by RNA polymerase I as part of the 45S precursor that also contains 18S and 28S rRNA.
Source: RNAcentral